UGGGGCGUAGCCAAGUGGUAAGGCACCGGUUUUUGGGUCCGGCAUUCGUAGGUUCGAGUCCUCCCGCCCCAGCCA
RNAcentral lists this transfer RNA (75 nucleotides) under Acidobacteriota bacterium. RNAcentral's name for it is "Acidobacteria bacterium (activated sludge metagenome) tRNA-Gln". It matches the Rfam family "tRNA". From Rfam's summary of the family: Transfer RNA (tRNA) molecules are approximately 80 nucleotides in length. Lineage: Bacteria; Pseudomonadati; Acidobacteriota. The record is from RNAcentral.